This is a long non-coding RNA of Saccostrea echinata, 524 nucleotides long. RefSeq lists it as uncharacterized. The record is from RefSeq and is a predicted model, not a curated record. Lineage: Eukaryota; Metazoa; Mollusca; Bivalvia; Ostreida; Ostreidae. The transcript is spliced from 3 exons.
UGUAACAAUGACCACAAGAUACGACACAAAAAGGGAGCUGUCCUUCUACAAGUGCUUGAUCAACUGAUUUAAUGGAAAGAAGUUCAGAAUAUGAAGUGCAACAAGGGUAUGUCCAACACACUUUCUGUGACACUUGUCUUUGAAUGCGAAGGAUGUCCAAGAUUCCAGUGAUUGUAACAUGUCAAUAUGAUUACCUAAAAAAGUGUGAGUUAAUUUUUACAUGUGUCACAAGUACAGUCUGCAGAGACAAGCACUUCUAUCAUUGAGGGAAAGUCUGCAUUGUCAAGUUCUUUGCAUAGACAGAAAAGAGAUAAGCAAUGGGGUGUAUGGACCAGACCAGGAUUCAAGUCAGGGCUCCCUGAAUCAGUAGUCAUUUACUCUACCAAUUUAACUAUCUGGCCACCAGAAACUGAACCCACCUGUCCUGAAUGCCCUAUAUGGAUCUGUGGAACUCUGACAUAUCCAAGUUUUAUCAAUAAGAGAGGUUUUACUCCACCUAUGUCAAGUGACCAUAAUUUAACAAU